GUUGCUUUGGCAGAAUUAUGCAUUGGACUUAGGAUCCAAUAAUGUGAGUAAUUAAUCUCACAAGUAAUA
Molecule: transfer RNA, 69 nt
Filed under: Penaeus monodon (black tiger shrimp)
Lineage: Eukaryota; Metazoa; Arthropoda; Malacostraca; Decapoda; Penaeidae
Description: tRNA-Leu
Rfam family: tRNA
About the family: Transfer RNA (tRNA) molecules are approximately 80 nucleotides in length. Their secondary structure includes four short double-helical elements and three loops (D, anti-codon, and T loops).
Source: RNAcentral